AACUCAAAGCAAAAAGGAAAGCCACCGGAAGCUUCUGUGAAUUCAAGAAUUGCAAAAGCGAAUGUGGUGUCAAGGUGGAUUCCUCCUAAUAAAGGAUCGUAUACAAAUUCAUUGCAUGUGUCUUAUCCACCAACGAGGUAUAAUAGCACGCCACCUGUCCUGACGCAAUUGGGGGAGAAAAAAUCAGGUGAAGGUGCAGGGAAUGGAUCAAAGAAAGAUGUUAAAGCGGGUGAAUCUUCACCUGUUCGGCGAUCUGGUAAGUCUCUGGGUUCUGGUGCCUUGAAAGAUCUUGUUGGAAUUUUGGAAGAGAAAUCAGUGAAGGUUACUACUCCACCUCCUACACCACUGCCGCCAGUAGCAAGCAGGGCUCCUCCACCACCACCACCUCCACCACCUAGCUCAUAUGACAUCUAUAUCGAUGAUGAAGUUGUGCCUGCUUCUCCGCCUUUGCCUCCUAAACAGGUUGCACCCCCACCUCCACCUCCACCCCCACCACCACCUCCAAUGUAUGCAGCNNN
RNAcentral lists this long non-coding RNA (518 nucleotides) under Lactuca sativa (garden lettuce). Its description in RNAcentral is "long non-coding RNA (LSAT_LNC004002)". The record is from RNAcentral. Lineage: Eukaryota; Viridiplantae; Streptophyta; Magnoliopsida; Asterales; Asteraceae.